UACGGAGGGUGCGAGCGUUGUCCGGAAUCAUUGGGCGUAAAGGGCGCGUAGGUGGCGGGACAAGCGUGCGGUGAAAGCUCGGGGCUCAACCCCGAGUCGGCCGUGCGAACUGUUUUGCUGGAGCACUGUAGAGGCAGGCGGAAUUCCGGGUGUAGCGGUGGAGUGCGUAGAGAUCCGGAAGAACACCGGUGGCGAAGGCGGCCUGCUGGGCAGUUGCUGACACUGAGGCGCGACAGCGUGGGGAGCAAACAGG
RNAcentral lists this ribosomal RNA (253 nucleotides) under uncultured bacterium. RNAcentral's name for it is "partial 16S ribosomal RNA". It matches the Rfam family "Bacterial small subunit ribosomal RNA", at positions 524 to 776 of the family's 1533-position model. The record is from RNAcentral.